Molecule: non-coding RNA, 324 nt
Organism: Vicia faba (fava bean)
Lineage: Eukaryota; Viridiplantae; Streptophyta; Magnoliopsida; Fabales; Fabaceae
Source: the annotation of a GenBank genome assembly
AUGGUCAUCACAAGACGUGGAGUCAUGAUUGGCCGGGUCUGUUACAGUUCUACCCACAACCAACGUCGAGAGGUUAGAUUAGACAAGCGGACUAGAGAUGAUGUUGAGGUUGUUCAUGCUCAGAAGGUGCAUGGUAAAGCUUUUAUUGACCCAAUUGAGGUGGUCGUGGCAGAUGCGGUACAUGUUGAUGAGGUGGCCGAGACAUACGUGACCCCUAUUUCUAGUGAGGUGGUUGAGACGGAUCCCCCUAUUGUUAAAGAGGUGAUUGUCAUAGAUCUGGUCCUUAUUGCUGAUGAGGCUACUGCUACUAAUGAUGAUACAGAG